RNA transcript from Vitis vinifera (wine grape), 1446 nucleotides. It is a transcript of the gene named zinc finger A20 and AN1 domain-containing stress-associated protein 8, with no coding region annotated. The record is from RefSeq and is a predicted model, not a curated record. Lineage: Eukaryota; Viridiplantae; Streptophyta; Magnoliopsida; Vitales; Vitaceae. The transcript has 5 exons.
GCACCAACCGCGUCUGAUCGCUGCCCCCUUUCUCUCUCCUCCAGCUCCGCCAUAAAUACGCACCUCCACCGCUUGGCUCCGACGACUCCGAUUCUCUGAGAUGGUCUCUCUCCUGUUCGCUUAGGGGGACAAGGAUUGUCUGGUGUGAUUGUUUUGGUUGUUGAGUUUCGGAGCGAUCGAUCACAGGAGCUGAUUCGACGAAGACGUCCCCCUUGCGAGCAGAAACCAGUGGUUGGGAUUGAUGAUUGGACUGGAAGAGGUUUUGGAAGUGUUUUUCGGUUGCAGCCUUUGAAGAGAGACUAAAAUACCCAAGGACUGGAAAGUAAAGUAUGGACCAUAACGAGACAGGGUGCCAAGCUCCUCCUGAAGCCCCCAUACUUUGCAUCAACAACUGUGGAUUCUUCGGGAGUGCAGCCACCAUGAACAUGUGUUCCAAGUGCCACAAGGAUUUGGUAUUGAAGCAGGAACAGGCUAAACUUGCUGCAUCAUCGUUUGAGAGCAUCGUGGAGGGCAGCUCCAACUGCAAUGCAAAAGAGUCCAUGGUCGCCAUUGCCAAAGCUGAUAUAAUACAGACUGGUCCAUCAGAGUCAAUGCCCGUCCCAACACAGGCAGCUUGUGCUUCACCAAGCGAGACCAAUGACAGAGUGAAAGAGGGUCCAAACAGGUGCAGUUCUUGCAGGAAGCGAGUCGGUUUAACAGGCUUCAAUUGUCGCUGUGGAAACAUCUUCUGUGCAGUGCAUCGCUACUCUGACAAACAUGCCUGCCCAUUCGACUACAGGACCGCUGCUCGAGAUGCCAUAGCCAAAUCCAACCCUGUUAUCAAGCCUGAAAAGCUUGACAAAAUCUAAGAAGCCAUGUUUGAACAGUCUACCCCACGAGUCUUCUCUUGUUUACUCAUGACAUAAAUGGUCGCUCGGGCUUUCCCUGUCUGAAAGAACAUUAUAGAUCAGUCAUCCAUGGUGUGUUUUGCUGCUGGUCUGAUGAACAGGCUUCUCAUGUUUUAGCAUGAGGCUUGGUAUACGCAGAGGUGGUGUUGGGGGAGAAGGCAUGGAGAAAACAUAUUGGGGGCCAAGAGGGGGCCUUGAGCAUACAAGAAGGGUGAUGGGCCUGAUGGGAGUAUGGCUGGCACGAGGCUUGGGGCAACCUUGUCAAGUAUGUGUGGCUGGAAAAUAAAAAAGUGGUAUAUGAUGUGCCUAUGUUGAUUGGAGUCCUACGUUUUUUGACUAGACACAUUGGAUUUGUGAUAUCAACGGGUUGGGAGGUUGGAACCCCCAAAAGUCUUUGAUUAUGUCAUACUUUUUAGCAUUAGCUAUUACAGAUUAGUUUGAAUUAGAUAAUCCUUAGCCAUCACAAUGAGAUGGGUUUGUCACGCUAUACUCUCAAAAUGUCAAAUUUGACAUGUAUAUAGAAAUAGAUUUUUGGUGGGUUUUAGUUUUCUUUUGACAA